GAGGGCGGGUGCUAUAAUGCAAGUCGAGCGAGCUUGCCUAGAUGAUUUUAGUGCUUGCACUAAAUGAAACUAGAUACAAGCGAGCGGCGGACGGGUGAGUAACACGUGGGUAACCUGCCCAAGAGACUGGGAUAACACCUGGAAACAGAUGCUAAUACCGGAUAACAACACUAGACACAUGUCUAGAGUUUAAAAGAUGGUUCUGCUAUCACUCUUGGAUGGACCUGCGGUGCAUUAGCUAGUUGGUAAGGUAACGGCUUACCAAGGCAAUGAUGCAUAGCCGAGUUGAGAGACUGAUCGGCCACAUUGGGACUGAGACACGGCCCAAACUCCUACGGGAGGCAGCAGUAGGGAAUCUUCCACAAUGGACGCAAGUCUGAUGGAGCAACGCCGCGUGAGUGAAGAAGGGUUUCGGCUCGUAAAGCUCUGUUGGUAGUGAAGAAAGAUAGAGGUAGUAACUGGCCUUUAUUUGACGGUAAUUACCUAGAAAGUCACGGCUAACUACGUGCCAGCAGCCGCGGUAAUACGUAGGUGGCAAGCGUUGUCCGGAUUUAUUGGGCGUAAAGCGAGUGCAGGCGGUUCAAUAAGUCUGAUGUGAAAGCCUUCGGCUCAACCGGAGAAUUGCAUCAGAAACUGUUGAACUUGAGUGCAGAAGAGGAGAGUGGAACUCCAUGUGUAG
This 679-nucleotide ribosomal RNA is filed under the name uncultured bacterium. RNAcentral describes it as "bacterial SSU rRNA". It matches the Rfam family "Bacterial small subunit ribosomal RNA", at positions 38 to 678 of the family's 1533-position model. The record is from RNAcentral.